ACGGGGCCGCACAAGCGGUGAGCAUGUGGUUUAAUUCGAAGCAACGCGAAAGAACCUUUACCAGGUUCUUGACAUCCCGAUGCUAUUUCUAGAGAUAGAAAGUUACUUCGGUACAUCGGUGACAGGUGGUGCAUGGUUGUCGUCAGCUCGUGUCGUGAGAUGUUGGGUUAAGUCCCGCAACGAGCGCAACCCCUAUUGUUAGUUGCCAUCAUUCAGUUGGGCACUCUAGCGAGACUGCCGGUAAUAAACCGGAGGAAGGUGGGGAUGACGUCAAAUCAUCAUGCCCCUUAUGACCUGGGCUACACACGUGCUACAAUGGUUGGUACAACGAGUUGCGAGUCGGUGACGGCGAGCUAAUCUCUUAAAGCCAAUCUCAGUUCGGAUUGUAGGCUGCAACUCGCCUACAUGAAGUCGGAAUCGCUAGUAAUCGCGGAUCAGCACGCCGCGGUGAAUACGUUCCCGGGCCUU
Molecule: ribosomal RNA, 468 nt
Filed under: uncultured Streptococcus sp.
Lineage: Bacteria; Bacillati; Bacillota; Bacilli; Lactobacillales; Streptococcaceae
Description: bacterial SSU rRNA
Rfam family: Bacterial small subunit ribosomal RNA
Source: RNAcentral